Rhipicephalus microplus (southern cattle tick) is the source of this 227-nucleotide long non-coding RNA. The record is from RefSeq and is a predicted model, not a curated record. Lineage: Eukaryota; Metazoa; Arthropoda; Arachnida; Ixodida; Ixodidae.
GUGAAGUUUUUCAUAUAAACGUACUUAUGUCUCUGUAUUUCGCCUUCAUUCAUUCCCAUAUCAUGUAUGGUCUCACUGCUUGGUGAAACACGUAUGACUGUCAUCUGUCACCCAUUCAGAACAUACAAAAUCAGGCGAUCCGCAUUAUCACUAAUAGCUCACGAUACUCCAGUGCAGGCCAUCUACUCCAAGACAACAAAAUCCUACCUGUUCCCCGCAAAUGUGGC